GGAUCGCGCAGCGGCUGCUUCCUUUACCUUCCUCCCAUGGUCUCCUUCCGGUUCUCGAUGCUUCUCUGAGCCUAAGGGUUUCCGCCACUCGUUUACCCUCCCCCCAGCUCAUGAUCCUCCUCCCUCCCCCGCCCUCCUGGUCCAAUCUCCGAUCUGUUUAGUAAGAAGGUGCUGUUCCGAGAAGGAGAAGGAAAAGGGCUUGACACGUAUUCACUCGGCCCCGGACGUGGGAAGCAAGCCGUCUGGCUUCGGCCUCACAUCGGUCCUGUGCUCGGGACGGCGGCGUUGGCGGACUGAUCUGCGGCGGUGAAGAGGCAGGAGGAGGGGGAGGGGCGGAGCGUGGCAGCUGGCAGUAGUUCCGUCAGAGCGGACAUCUUGUGGCUGUGUCGUGCGCGCGCCUGUGUCUGGCAGAGCUGGUGUGAGACGAGACAAUCCUGCCCCGCCGCCGGGAUAAUCAAGAGUUUUGGCCGGACCUUUGAGCAUACACCGAGAGAGUGAGGAGCCAGACGACAAGCACACACUAUGGCGCUGAAACGGAUUAAUAAGGUAACCCGCG
RNAcentral lists this long non-coding RNA (556 nucleotides) under Pan troglodytes (chimpanzee). RNAcentral's name for it is "long non-coding RNA NONPTRT013166". Lineage: Eukaryota; Metazoa; Chordata; Mammalia; Primates; Hominidae. The record is from RNAcentral.